CGCUCCCAGGAGAAUGGUGGCCCAAGCUGCACCACCAGGGAGAGAAGGAGCUGCUCAAUUUUCCUUAGAGCUUUCUCUCCCCUCAGCAUCUCCCUCUUCUCAUCAGCUAUGGGGAAGGCGGCUGAUGGCAAGUGUUACCUGUGUCCUACCCCUCACAAUCUCCAUGCCUGAAAAACCACCAACCUGCUGUCUGUCACAGGCAAAUCAGAAACUGAUGAAAAUCUGGUUACAUAAGAAGUUGGAAUUAUCAGACCAAGAGAAGAUGCUGUGGGUUUGUCGUACCAGUAUUUACAGGAAGGACCCAGUUUUACCCAGGAGAACCCCAAGAGGACAUAUCCAUCUUGCUCCCACUGGCCCCUGCCUCAAAUGCUUUGGUACUGCACCAGGACCCAGCAUCACAGCUGGCACUAAAAGGCAGAAGAUAGAUUGAGACUAGGACUGGCAGGUGCAUCCCCAGACUGAGAUCCUUCAGAGCAGCAGAUCAGCUCCUACUAAUUCAUUGCACAGCACUGCCCACAGGGAGUCCUCAGCUCAGUGCUGUACAGCACCAAGAAAUUGCACUGAUUUCUGUAACACGACUUAGAAACACAUAGCAGACUACUCAUGUCUACUUCACCCCAACAUUUGGCACACCUGGCACAGGGGAAGUCAGUGGCCUUUCAAGGCUGCAUCCUUCUACUGCUGCUCUUCCCUUUGUCUGUACUGCUGUGGCAACAAGUGUUCCUCCUUCCCUUCCUUCUGUUUUCCAUUUCCAUGUCACUAACUGCAGAAGACAAGAGACAACCUGACCAUUGAGCUUUUUUUUAUCUUGCACUCCAUUUCUUACAGAAGGUGAUGGAUCUGUGAAUCAAGCACUUAGCUAUCAAACAUUUAAAUAUUUGUAAGUCUCAAGGUUGUAUGUACACUAAGUAUUGCAGUUUUCCAAUGUGCACAAAUGUCUGUCUCAGGGUGUCUGAGACCUGUCAGAUGCUGCAAGACUGAUGGGUCCUGGUUUGUAUUACCACUCGACAUUGUAAACAGCGCAAGGAGUAUAUAUUUAUUCUUGUUAACAAAAGCAACAUGAGAGCAUAGAUGACUCUCCAAAUUCAAGGUUUUACAGUGGUUUUGUACCAGCAGUGAAAUGACCUGCAGCUUGUUUCCCACUCAGAUCCCUCCCAGGCAGAUAUCUGUAGGCUGUAAAUUUCUACUGGACCCCAUGACUGAUAUAUUUUAACUAAGAGAUAUUAGUUCUUAAUAGAAAAACUCCCUAAAAGUUCACACACAUUCCUUUCCCAGUUUUUGACACAUGCCAUAAAAGUGCUUACCUCAUUCUUUAUUUUGUCUUACCUUGGUCAAAUCAUAAAAUAGACAGAGUGUUCUUUUAAAAAAUGGUAAAUCAUUCAGGGUCAUCUAAAAAUUUCUACUGGCUUUCAACUCUUGAACACUUAUUUAUCAUUUGCCAUUUAUAUCUUCUUUUUGUGCAUUUUUUAUUUCUAGCCAUAAAUAUCCUUACAGCAGGGAGUAGAGGGGAGUUCUGUAGAGGAUUAUGACUUGGUUUCAAGGCAUUUUUAAUUUGUCAAACAAUGCUGGUCCAACUGGGACUACCAGAUUGCUAUUUCUAAAGGAAACUCACUUUUGAAAAAUGUAAGGUAAGAAAAUGUACCCUUAGAUUUAUGCAUACAAAACCCGAUUAAAUUCAGCGAUUUCUAUCCCCGUUUUUACAUCUUAAACUAAAGAGAAAAAUGAAAGGAAAGAGUCCACUGACUUUAGUGAUAUGAAUGGGAGCCAUAUUUUGGCCUAGAGGCAGAAGGACUGAGAGGUUUUAGAAAAACUAUAUUAAAAUAGUCUUUUCUUUCUAAUAGAUCCACACUAAAAAGGUAAUAAAGGAGCCCCAUCCAGAGGGUAAGAGCCCCUAUGCCUUCCACUGGCAGAUCUUUAAAAUAUUCUCUGAGAUUAGAGGAACACACAGGAACUGAAAAACUAAUAUUUUGGGGUGUGAUGUUUAUUGCAUUAUUUCUAAUAAUGAAAAAUUAUGUACUUCAGAGUCUGAAAGGUACAUCAUAAUCUUCUUCUAUAGUCCUUGAAGAGGAAAAUAUGUUAUUUGAAUCUCUCCUGUUUUAAAAUGUUCAGGAUCAGGCUUUCAAAGCUCUGUCUCUUUACCUAAGGCAUAUUGCACUGAACUACAUGCAAUGAGCUACACUAAGGUUGCUAUCAAAGUUAUGCAGCACUCCAUCUCUUUUGUCAAUUUAAAAGAAAUACCUAGGAAUAAGGGUUUGACUGUAAUCCAGCAGACUUUUAACAGAAUUGCCUUUAGUGUACUCAUUAGAGGGAGUUUUCAAAGCAAACAUGAAAAUUUAUGAAGUAGGAAUCUCCAAAUACACAGUCCCAGAUUUUCCCAGGAACCCAAAUAUUAAAUGUCAUCAAUUUGAAAAGAGAUGCUCUAAAUAUUUUGCUGUAGUAUAGUAAUAGUAACACUAAUACUAAUACUACAACUAACAACAACUAUUGUUGUUGUUAUACUGCAAAGAAAUGUUACAAUGGAAGAAAAACCCACUCAGAAGUCAUAUCAUAUGCGUUAGCAAGCACUUGAUGAUUUCUCAAGCUUGGUCCAUGCACAGAGGUUAUUGAGAAAAGGAGGAUGCAGGACCCGAGUUCACAGAAGGGUUACUGCAGCUUUGCCAAGCUAAUACUGCUUCUUCUCACUUUCUCAGAGGUCAGCAGCAUCCUCAGGGCAACACAGUACUGAAAGAAGACAGGAAUGGCCUGUUAGAGUCCAAUACUCCCUGACUGGAUUCUUUUAGAUAUUCCACACAUAGAAGGUGAAAUGUUUAAUGUAAAAUGUAGUUAUUUAAAGAUAGUUUAUGUUAUAGGGGUUUCUGAUUUAGCAGAGUAAUAGAAAUAUAUUGAAAACACAAAACUGCUCUAAGUUAGACUUAGCAAAACAUCAAUUGCAACUGCACUAAACAGUUUAAUUGUGGGAUUCCCAUUGUCAAACUCCAUUAUAUACUUAUUGUCAUGACUCUGGACAUCUCCAGUUGUUGGAAAGGAAUUUAUGGGCUUAAAGCUGCUCAAGCCUGUUCUCUUCAAAACACUUUUGCAAGUUGACUAGUUUUUUAUACUCUGUAUCAGGCUGAGCCCCAUAAUCAGUCCCCCAUGCUCUUCUGGCUAACUCAGGGAGACAUUUACACUCUUUUAAUGAGUUCAGUGAGAAACAUUUACACUACCAUUUAAGCUACUCAACUUUUCAUAGAUGUUUAUGUAAAACAAAGGUCAUCCUCCUUUGCCAAGGAGUCCUGUUGCAAAAAAGUUUUCUUUACAGCAGCUGUGGUUAGUCACAUCCUACAAUAGUCCUUGAACUUCAUGAUUACAUCACCCUUGACCAUUUCCUUUCAGGCUUCUUCCCUUGGAGGGAUUUAUUGGUCAGUCAUAUGACCCAAAAUCUUCCUGCCCCAUCUCUUCCUCAUCCCCAAAUUCUUCUCUUUUCAGUAAUUUUAAUUCUGCAGUUGAUGUAAUUUAAAAGACUGCUUGCUAACAUUUCCAGUUUGAUUAUACAACAAAGGAAGACUAAAUUUUGGAGCUAUGAGACCAAAAUGGUUCCAACUUUCAGUAAAAUUAGAACAUAUAUUGUGUCUCAGCUGGAUUGAACUAAAUUUGACAUAGAACAGCUGCAGGUUACUGGAAAGGCUGAUGACAAUGCAUCUUUGUUAUUUCCGAAGUCUAAAAUGGUUUUAAUCCUAUUUUUGUGUAAGAUUGGGUAUGGAGCAUCUGUUGCUGUUUUGACAUUAUUUAUGCUUUCAUUAUCCUUAAUAUUCAGUGGGCCAGCACAAAAUUCAGAUCCUGUUCAAAAGCCUUCUACACUUCAUUUCAAUUAUUUCAGAUUCCAGGUACCCAGCUCAGUGGGAUAUGAUGUCCAGCCCCUGAGGGGACACCUGUCAGCUUGCUGAUGUGUGAAGAGAAUGCCCUAUGCCCAGAGAGAGAUCCUUCUAAAAGCAGAAUUGCUACAUCAUUGAAUGCUCUGUUGUGCUUUUUCUUCCUGCAUCUCCACAAGGCAAAUUUGUAGUAAAUUACUAAAAUGGUAGUUCACUGUGAGGUCUAAUGGAAGGGAAAAGUGAUUUUUAUUUACAAAAUCUCUACACUGAUUUUUACUCAUUCACAUUUUCACACACAUAUGCUCAGCAGCACUAAGACGUAUAUCAGGGCUUGCAGUGAGGAAUUGGUGUCGAUUUGCUGUCGUGCCCUUCGGAAGUGGGUGUUGUUUGAGAUCUUUUGCCUCAGUAUGUCAACUGAGCCCUCAUAAUUAUUGCUUAACUUAUCUGGUUAUUUUAUGGCUCCAGUCAUGUUCUUCAUAUUCUUGUUACCUUAUCUUUAGGUCAUUUUGUUCCUCCUCUUGCUUUGAAUGAAAUCCUACACAUAGUGUAUUAUCUGACCUGUCCUUCUAGACUUUGUUCUGCUGUUUCAUCUGCAACUUCCACACAAAUAUUUCAAUCCAUAAUCAACUAAUAAAUCUUCAUAUUUCUGUAACAAAUCUCUGCAAAUUGCACUAAUGCUGCAGUGUCUUGUCCAGGGCUGUGACGAGCUGCCAGUUGCAGUGUGUCACCCCAUCACCUCAUGCCAGUGUGAUCUGGUAGAUCCUGGCUGGUAGAGGCACCAUCCAACACAGCUCUGCAUGGCCAUAAAUUUCACUCCAAAAGUGACAUCCUCAGCUAAUUUCCAAAUACUCAUCAGUAAGAAACAAGGACAAUGUCCAUGAUCUUUGAACGUCUCCUAUAAUCUCUUUUUGUUAAUCCUCGAUUUAAUAUAGAAGACUGCAUGAGAUUGAUUACUUAGGGAAUUGAACCCCCCACUAAGUACAAGGUAAACAAAAUGUCGUAUAAAAUCCCACCUGGAUUCAGAUGAAUGAGAAAAGCACUGAAAUUCAGUGAUUAAUUCCCAGCUGCAGCUGAGCAAAGGCUCAUAAAAGUGAAAAUAAAAUAAAAAUAAAAAUGUUGAAACCAGUAAGUGAAAUGCUGCAUUUGGACAUACACAUGAACUCAUUCAGCUCUUAGGCCAGGCCUGGCUAAAAGAAUAAGAACAAUAAAAAGUAACAGAGCAAAUAGCAUUCUUUAAAAGAUUCUUUAAAGCAUCUUUAAAAGACUGCCAUGAGGCAAUCUAAUUGGAAAUGGAGAAGCCCCUAAAGGGAAGACUGCACUUUGUACCAAUGCCACAGUUUUAUCAUGAGUGUCAGGGUUCAAUGGGUAAGAAUCAAUUUUCCUGCUGUCCUCCCAGUAGCUACACAAGAGACUGGCCUGCUGGUUAUAUAUUUACCUACUGCAUCCCUUCAGAUAACACUCAUUCAAGCCCUGCUACCAGAACAACUGAAAAUAACACAUGUAUCACAUUCCUUUAAUUCUUUGUCAGGUUGUCAAAACUGAAGUUUUACUUUUGCCUGAGAGUGCACACCACAGAAAAAAGAUAAUUUCAUCCUUGAAGUGCCAGGAUUUUAUAAAAAAUAAACUUACCAACCUCUAGGGAAAAACAUUUUGAACAGAGAGAAGCCAGGAAUGCUAGGGCUGCCUCCUCAGAUACAGCCUGCCGUGGGGACAAACAGUGUGCUCUGGCCUUCUCUAGUCCUUGGGGUCAUACAGAAGUUUCAGAGCUGGUGUUAUUUCUGUCUCACAUAUUUCUUCUCCCACUAUUACAGUGACAGAAUUGCUGCCAUUUCCUUUUGUGACAAAGAAUGUCAUUUCUUAUCCCAUUGCUUUGACUGAAAAGGGCUGAAAUUAAGAAAUGAGUCCUUUCUGAUGGCAAACACAGUCACACAGAAGGUCAAAGGUAAAUUAAUUGAAGGCAUGUUUACAUGACUUCAUUCUUAAAAUCAGUAUCUCCAAUAUGUAUAGUAUUCUAUAAUUUACAAGUCAGAUAAGCAUAAUAAUCAUGUUAUUAUGCUCGGAAAAUAUUUCUGUAGUAUGGAAGAAUUCUCUCAUGCUUUGUACGUGAUUGCAAGAUGGAAAAGAACUUCAAGUUAAGAAGAUUAAUAAAAAG
Passer domesticus (house sparrow) is the source of this 6000-nucleotide long non-coding RNA. RefSeq lists it as uncharacterized. The transcript is spliced from 3 exons. NCBI's taxonomy places the organism in Eukaryota, Metazoa, Chordata, Aves, Passeriformes, Passeridae. The record is from RefSeq and is a predicted model, not a curated record.